CUACGGGGUGCUGCAGUGGGGAAUAUUGCACAAUGGACGAAAGUCUGAUGCAGCAACGCCGCGUGGAGGAUGACACAUUUCGGUGCGUAAACUCCUUUUAUAUAAGAAGAUAAUGACGGUAUUAUAUGAAUAAGCACCGGCUAACUCCGUGCCAGCAGCCGCGGUAAUACGGGGGGUGCAAGCGUUACUCGGAAUCACUGGGCGUAAAGAGCAUGUAGGUGGAUUAAUAAGUUGGAAGUGAAAUCCUAUAGCUUAACUAUAGAACUGCUUCCAAAACUGUUGAUCUAGAAGUGUGGGAGAGGUAGAUGGAAUUUCUGGUGUAGGGGUAAAAUCCGUAGAGAUCAGAAGGAAUACCGAUUGCGAAGGCGAUCUACUGGAACACUAUUGACACUCAGAUGCGAAAGCGUGGGGAGCAAACAGGAUUAGAUACCCUGGUAGUC
This 440-nucleotide ribosomal RNA is filed under the name uncultured bacterium. RNAcentral's name for it is "partial 16S ribosomal RNA". It matches the Rfam family "Bacterial small subunit ribosomal RNA", at positions 339 to 795 of the family's 1533-position model. The record is from RNAcentral.